This 258-nucleotide ribosomal RNA is filed under the name uncultured bacterium. RNAcentral describes it as "partial 16S ribosomal RNA". It matches the Rfam family "Bacterial small subunit ribosomal RNA", at positions 99 to 354 of the family's 1533-position model. The record is from RNAcentral.
CGGACGGGUGGAGUAACGACGUGGAAACCGUAGCCGUAGUACUGGGGAGUAACACUUAGAAAUAGGUGCUAAUACCGCAUAAGCGCACAGCUUCGCAUGAAGCGGUGUGAAAACUCUGGUGGUAUACGAUGGUUCCGCGUCUGAUUAGCUAGUUGGUGGGGUAAUGGCCUACCAAGGCAACGAUCAGUAGCCGGCUUGAGAGGGUGAACGGCCACAUUGGGACUGAGACACGGCCCAAACUCCUACGGGAGGCAGCAG